CGCGUCGCUGCAGUUAUAGCCGAGAAAUCGGUAAGCGAAGGCGUCUCCGCCGCUGGACUGGAGGGCGAUGGUUCGCGGCCUGCCGGGGUUGCGCAAGUAGCCGGGAGGAGAGGCGAAGCGGUUGGUAACUUUGCGAAGGGAAAUUCGAGAGCCCCAGGAAGGAAGAGGAAACUUAUCCUCAUAAUGGCUAUAAAGUGUGACAAGGUUCGAAGUGACAAGAAGCAAGUUCUGUGAUCUGCAUGGAAAGGCACCGUUUGUGCAGUAAAAUAUAAAUGAUUAAAAUAAAGGAGGAAAGUAAUUUUAUGGAAAAAAAUCCAAAGGAAGGCUUUUGAAAUAAAAGACUGUCUUUUAUCUACAUGGGGCCGCUCUAGGUUUGAUUUGUGGUAGAUUGGUUGGUAGGCUUGGAAGGAACAAUUUAUGGUGAAUACUGAAGUUAUCCUCAGUUCAUUUCUCCUUUCCUGACAUCCUUUCAACAUCUGUUCUGUAAAAUAGAGCAAAACAAACUGUAGGUAGUCCUUGAUUUACAACCAUUUAGUGUCAGCUGGAAGUUCCAACAAGGCUGAAAGAAGUGGCUUUCAACCCUUCCUUGCGCUUAGGUGCUUGGCAAUCCGGCAUGUAUUUACAAUGGUUGCAGUGUUCAGGGGUUGCGAGAUUGCCAUUUGUGACCUUCCCAGCUGGCUUUCCAUAAAGUCAACAGCAGAAGCAAGAUUUGCUUAGUGACCAUAUGGUUCAUGGUCAUAUAGCAAAAAAAGGUUGUAAAAUUGGAUGAGACUCAGUUUACUGCCUUGCUUAGCAACAGAAAUUCUGGACUCAGUUGUGAUUGAUAAUUGAGGUUUACUUGUAGUCAUUUGGUACCAAAUGAAUUCUUUCAUGGCUGUAGUCCUUCCUGUCUUUCUGUCCCCCUAAACUGCUUUAAAAUUCUGAUCUCUGGAUUGUAAUGAUCUGCUUUUUUGUAUCUGUAUGGUCUUUUACAAAUGGAAACCUCGACUUGGGGCUGUAUCUUAUAGGACCACAUGAAAUAAUGCAUAAUUAGAUGUACACGCUACAGUGUACAGGUAGUCCUCAACUUAUGACCAAUUGACUCAAAUUUUCCAUUGCUAAGCAGGGCAGUUUAGUAGGUUUUGCCCCAUUUUUUGCCAUAUUUAAGUGAAUCACUGCAGUUGUUCAGUGAGUCAUGCAGUCAUUAAAGGAAUCUGGCUUCCCCAUUGACUAUGCUUAUCAGAAGCAGUUGGGAAAGCUACAAAUGGUGAUCACAUGACCCCGGGAGAAUGCAACUGUCAUAAACGCAUGCCAGUUGCCAAGCGCUCAAAUUUUAAUCUCAUGGCCAUGGGGAUUCUGCAUUGGUUGUAAGGGUGAAAAUUGGUUAUCACUUUUUUCAGGGCCUUUGUAACUUUGAACAGUCACUGAACGAAUGGUUGUAAGUUGAGGACUACCUGUAGUAUGUAUAAAGUCUGGAUGUCAGAGAAAGGAUGCCUAGAAUUUUUUAUCAAUUACAUUUCAGUGUUCCAUG
RNAcentral lists this long non-coding RNA (1510 nucleotides) under Laticauda laticaudata (blue-ringed sea krait). RNAcentral describes it as "lncRNA (ENSLLTG00000008943.1)". Lineage: Eukaryota; Metazoa; Chordata; Lepidosauria; Squamata; Elapidae. The record is from RNAcentral.